AGCAGCCGCGGUAAUUCCAGCUCCAAUAGCGUAUAUUAAAGUUGUUGCAGUUAAAAAGCUCGUAGUUGAACUUCGGGGUCUACCCAUUGGUCAGGCUUAAUUGUCUGCACUGGUGGGAUGGAUCUCUACCUUCUGAGGAACUUUCAUGCCAUUUAUUUGGUGUGAUUGGAAAUCAGGACUGUUACUUUGAAAAAUUAGAGUGUUUAAAGCAGACUAUCGUCUGAAUACAUUAGCAUGGAAUAAUGAAAUAGGACGGACUGAUUCUAUUUCGUUGGUUUCUAGGAUCACCGUAAUGAUUAAUAGGGAUAGUUGGGGGCAUUAGUAUUCAAUUGUCAGAGGUGAAAUUCUUGGAUUUAUUGAAGACUAACUACUGCGAAAGCAUUUGCCAAGGAUGUUUUCAUUAAUCAAGAACGAAAGUUAGGGGUCGAAGACGA
This 434-nucleotide ribosomal RNA is filed under the name uncultured Diversispora. Its description in RNAcentral is "SSU rRNA". It matches the Rfam family "Eukaryotic small subunit ribosomal RNA", at positions 569 to 1007 of the family's 1831-position model. The record is from RNAcentral. Lineage: Eukaryota; Fungi; Glomeromycota; Glomeromycetes; Diversisporales; Diversisporaceae.